RNAcentral lists this long non-coding RNA (243 nucleotides) under Salvia miltiorrhiza (redroot sage). RNAcentral's name for it is "long non-coding RNA (SMIL_LNC000147)". Lineage: Eukaryota; Viridiplantae; Streptophyta; Magnoliopsida; Lamiales; Lamiaceae. The record is from RNAcentral.
GGAAAAAUCUGAGCCAAAGUGUCCCGAGGACACAUUUUUCCCACAUCGAGUUUCCUAUGUUUUCUCUCUUUCUUUCUUUCUUUAAGUUUUCUGUUGUUCCUUUUACUUGCAGAAUUUCCCUUUGUAUUUUGCAGGUACUGAAAGGUGUAACUAAAGGAAGAGAAGUGAGAAGAGCAGCUGGGCACUAGAGUGUCGAGUGAAGGCGGCAGGACGGUCGGGAACCAAGUGGUGUAACCUCCGGCU